RNAcentral lists this unclassified non-coding RNA (378 nucleotides) under uncultured Parachlamydiaceae bacterium. RNAcentral describes it as "contains 16S-23S intergenic spacer region". Lineage: Bacteria; Pseudomonadati; Chlamydiota; Chlamydiia; Parachlamydiales; Parachlamydiaceae. The record is from RNAcentral.
UCCCGGUUAACCCGGGCAGUCUCACUAGAGUUCCCGCCUUUAUGCGUUGGCAACUAGUGAUAAGGGUUGCGCUCGUUGCGGGACUUAACCCAACACCUCACGGCACGAGCUGACGACAGCCAUGCAGCACCUGUGCAGCAGCCCCGAAGGGAGACGCCAUCUCUGGCGCUGUCUACUGCAUGUCAAGCCUGGGUAAGGUUCUUCGCGUUGCAUCGAAUUAAACCACAUGCUCCACUGCUUGUGCGGGUCCCCGUCAAUUCUUUUGAGUUUCACCCUUGCGAGCGUACUCCCCAGGCGGUAUACUUAUCGCGUUGGCUACGGCACAGCCAGGGUUGAGUCCGGCUACACCUAGUAUACAUCGUUUACGGCAAGGACUAC